CCUAUGUCCUGAGUGUAAUGUACUUAGAUGGUGUCAAGUUAGGUGAUGUUCAGGCUACAAUCAGUGGGGUCUUCACAGCAGCCUUCUUUCUAUUUAUCUCACAUGCUCGGCCCCUUCCUACCCUCUCAGCCGAACGACCUCAUCCCAAUAUUUUCUGUGCCUACGUCUUCCUCUCCCUCCUGGGACAAUUUGCUAUCCAUCUGCUUUUCUUAAUUUCUUCUGUUAACGAGGCUAGCAAGUACAUGCCUGAUGAGUGCAUUGAGCCAGACUCUACCCCUUCCAACCCUCUCAGCCGAACGACCUCAUCCCAAUAUUUUCUGUGCCUACGUCUUCCUCUCCCUCCUGGGACAAUUUGCUAUCCAUCUGCUUUUCUUAAUUUCUUCUGUUAACGAGGCUAGCAAGUACAUGCCUGAUGAGUGCAUUGAGCCAGACUCUAAUUUUCAUCCAAACCUUGUCAAUACUGUUUCAUACAUGGUGGGGUUGAUGCUUCAGGUAGCAACCUUUGCUGUGAACUACAUGGGCCACCCCUUCAACCAAAGCAUACCCGAAAACAAGCCAUUCUUAUACGCCCUUUUGGCUGCCGUGGGCUUCUUCACAGUUAUCACCUCUGAUUUGUUUAGAGACUUAAACGACUGGUUGAAGUUAGUUCCUAUAAUUUUCAUCCAAACCUUGUCAAUACAGUUUCAUACAUGGUGGGGUUGAUGCUUCAGGUAGCAACCUUUGCUGUGAACUACAUGGGCCACCCCUUCAACCAAAGCAUACCCGAAAACAAGCCAUUCUUAUACGCCCUUUUGGCUGCCGUGGGCUUCUUCACAGUUAUCACCUCUGAUUUGUUUAGAGACUUAAACGACUGGUUGAAGUUAGUUCCUAUGCCAAGAAGUUUGAGAGAUAAGCUGCUGCUUUGGGCAUUCCUGACAUUUUUGGUCUGCUAUGCCUGGGAGAAGUCAUUGAGGUGGGCUUUCCCUG
This 966-nucleotide long non-coding RNA is filed under the name Nicotiana benthamiana. RNAcentral's name for it is "long non-coding RNA (NBEN_LNC006238)". Lineage: Eukaryota; Viridiplantae; Streptophyta; Magnoliopsida; Solanales; Solanaceae. The record is from RNAcentral.